UAGCUAUGAUUUUGACAUUUGAGGCUUA
This 28-nucleotide small RNA is filed under the name Bombyx mori (domestic silkworm). Its description in RNAcentral is "ovarian small RNA-22478". The record is from RNAcentral. Lineage: Eukaryota; Metazoa; Arthropoda; Insecta; Lepidoptera; Bombycidae.